RNAcentral lists this ribosomal RNA (757 nucleotides) under uncultured archaeon. RNAcentral describes it as "bacterial SSU rRNA". It matches the Rfam family "Archaeal small subunit ribosomal RNA", at positions 115 to 879 of the family's 1478-position model. The record is from RNAcentral.
UUUGGAAGGGGAAACCCCGGGAACUGGGGAUAAUACCCCAUAGACUAUAGAUGCUGGAAUGCUUUGUAGUUGAAAGGUCCGCCGCCAUAGGAUGGGUCUGCGGCCGAUUAGGUUGUUGUUGGGGUAACGGCCCAACAAGCCUGUAAUCGGUACGGGUUGUGGGAGCAAGAGCCCGGAGAUGGAUUCUGAGACACGAAUCCAGGCCCUACGGGGCGCAGCAGGCGCGAAAACUUUACAAUGCGGGAAACCGUGAUAAGGGAACUCCGAGUGCCCGUAAAAUCGGGCUGUCCAUCUGUUUAAAUAACAGGUGAAGAAAGGGCCGGGCAAGACCGGUGCCAGCCGCCGCGGUAAUACCGGCGGCUCGAGUGGUGGCCACUAUUACUGGGCUUAAAGCGUUCGUAGCUGGUCUGUUAAGUCUCUGGGGAAAUCUACUGGCUUAACCAAUAGGCGUCUCAGGGAUACUGGCAGACUAGGGACCGGGAGAGGUGAGAGGUACUCCAGGGGUAGGAGUGAAAUCCUGUAAUCCUUGGGGGACCACCUGUGGCGAAGGCGUCUCACCAGAACGGCUCCGACAGUGAGGGACGAAAGCUGGGGGAGCAAACCGGAUUAGAUACCCGGGUAGUCCCAGCCGUAAACGAUGCGCGUUAGGUGUAUCGGUGACCACGAGUCACCGAGGUGCCGAAGAGAAAUCGUGAAACGUGCCGCCUGGGAAGUACGGUCGCAAGGCUGAAACUUAAAGGAAUUGGCGGGGGAGCAC